UGUCAUCUAUUUUUCUCCAACACUGACUGAUUCUUUCUCUUCUUCUUCGCGGCGACCUCUAUUUUCCCCGAUUAGUCCCUCGAGUGCCAGGGAGAAGGAGAAGCUCCUAGAUAGGUCACUGCAAAACCCAAUUUCCAUCCCUCACUUCCUCUAGCAUAUUUACUGGUUAAAAUCUAGCUUGAAUCUUCCAUAAUCUAUGCCAUUAAGCUUCCUGCUUAUCCUCUCUCCACUUCAAUGUCAAAGUCCCAUGGGUAAUGGGCUAUGUUCUUUCUACUCCUGUUCAAUCUGGAUUCUAACCCUCCUCCCUUUUUCCUUCAUAGUCUUUGGCAAAGUUCCAGAGGAACUGGUAAUUUCCAAGAAAUCGGGGCAUCUCUUUGAAAGACAACUGAGAGAGAGAGAGAGAGUAAAGAAAAGAGAGGAAGAAGGCUACAGAAGUCCCCUUCAUAAUCGACCACCAUGGCGGACAAGCCGCAGGCGGUGCGUGUCCUCUAUUGCGACGUCUGCAACAUCCCAAUGGAGUAUUGCGAGUUCAGCCCUAACUUAGAGAAGUGCAAGCCUCGGCUCCGUACCCACUCUCCCGAUAUGUACCCUGAUCCUCAAAGGUUAAUUUUAGAAAACACAGAUGCAGACAAGAUGCCUAGCAGAUGAAGUCUGUGGCGAUUUUGGGUUCCACUGACGCAAGGGGAGAUGCUGGCAGGUCUCCUUCAGGUUAUUCAUGAUGCUUAUUUUUUGUUUUUUUUCUUAUUCAUUUCUUUAUCCAUCUUCAUGAAGUGAGCUCUCGAUAUUCUAAUCUACCUUUUCAUUGAAAUUUAAUCAAUGAUGGGGAUUUCUUAGAAAUGUUGAUCUAUAAAUCAACUUUAGAAACAAAAUCAAUAAUCUGAUUAGAGUAGUUUAAUUUUGUGACCUAGGUCAGAAAGAAUUCUUGUGGCGCAUGCUUACAAUCAGUAAUUAUAAAUAGGAUACUAUUUUUGAAUAAUUUCUUGUGUAUUUCUUUUAGCACCAUCAAUUCUUUUGAUUCCAACCAUUGCAUAUCUAGGGUUUAGUUAUCAACGUCACUUUAGAUGUCCCUCAUCGGACCUUGUUUCUCUCUUUCUUUGUUUAAAAUUCUGAAUUUCUUGAAUAGGCAGGUAGUGUUUCAGCAUCUAAGCAAGAAGAAGUAAAGCGCCUUAUUGGUGGUAAGAUAAAGAAGAAGGUGAGUAAUGUAAACUUCGGUUUGUUUUAUCUCAGCUUAGGAGAUGCAAAUCAUGUCUUUUUAGUUUUAUCAAAUAAAUAAUUGUCAUCUUUGACUAAGGAUAUUAUUAUGCACAAAGUUUAUUACUCUUAGAAAUAGUGUGUGUAUAUCUCCAAACAUAUUUGUAUUUGAAAAUUUUCAAUUGACCAUACAAAGAGCUUCAAAGACUGAAUUAUUUAUUGUGACUUUGUGAAUUAUUCAUCUAUGAUCAAAGUCAAAAAAUUUGAGAUUGAUUGCAAAAUGGAUACACAAUUCUUGUCUGGUGAUUAACUAACCUGUAUAAUAAAAAAUAUAUAUCCAUGCAUUUGAGCUUGUUGGUAAGCCUUCUGACUAGUUUAUCAGUGCCAGCUUAUCUCAAUCGUAAUCUCAAUAUUGGAUGAUUUUUGUUAUUUGUUUAACCUUAUAUGUUGUCAAGUGUAUAUCAAUAUAAAUUACCUAAAGGCCCCAUUCAUUGUUAUUCAUCUUGGCCCAUCUAGCUAAAAUGAACUACCUUGUCAAUUUACAUUUCUUCAUAUUGGUAACACACUAAGUCCAUUGUAUUAUCCAUUUAGUUAUUGGUUUCUUUUCAUGGUAUGGACUUCAUGCAAUCCUCCAUAGUUUUAUUCAAAAUGGUUUAUCAAGUAGAGUUAGGACAAACUUCAAUUUGUGCAACAUUUUUAUGUUAUAAUGAUUAAAAUUGAUAGGUUCACUGUGAUCAUGAUUUUGUAGAAGAUCUAAAUUAUGGUAUGAUAGAGUUUGAAGCUUGAGCAAUGUGAAACCUUAGAUCAGGAGGAUAAUCAAUGUAAUUAGGUUUCCUAAAUCUAAAUCUUCACAUGUUUUAGUUAAUGUUGCAUUCUUAAUAUAAUGAUUUUUGCAAUAAUAUGCUAAUUAGGAUUAGCUUAUUUUGAUCUAGGAGAAGCAAGAACUUAUUAUUGAAAAGAUUGUUUGCAAAGUACAAGUGUUAUUGUUGUGAAAGGCCUUGAACUGUUUGGUGAGUGAUAGCCAAACAAUAUUAUUUACAACUAAAUUUGAGAAAUGAGAAAUCUGAACAUAUUACAGAUAUUACUAUUUACUCCAUUAUUUAUAAUUUAUGAGAUCUUUUUAGGUGUAAAACUGAGCGAUGCAUCAAAGAAGCGGGGUAAAAAGUUUGCUAUAGGAGCUUAUGUUGUCAAGGGACCAACCGAGAAAGAAUAGAUUGAUGUGUAAUGAAGUAUUGCCUAAAAUAUUGUGGAAUUCAUUACCGAGACUUGGUCAGAUGUAUCACUAUAUGAUUCCUUAUAGAGGUCUAUAUUUUUGUACGGCCAUUAAGAUUUGCUAGAAGUUCAAUUACUAAUUUAGCACCAGAUUAUUUAGGAUAAAAGUUGUGAGAUUUGAAGUUGAAAGUCAAAGAGCUGCUAAUUUAGCACGAGGUUUGCUAGACUGUGGUUUCUAGCAUAUUUUGACCAUAUAGAAAGAUUUUGCUGCAUAAGAGGGUGAUUUAAUUUUUUAUUUUGAUUAGUUUUUUAUGAUUGGUUAAAUGAUGCACAUAUUGAGUUCUGUAUUUAUUGCUAAAAUGUAAAGUUAUGAUACUUGAUAUUUUUUAUUAAGUAUGGUGCAGCUUGUUAGUUGUUGGACCUCAGUUUAAGA
Zingiber officinale is the source of this 2836-nucleotide long non-coding RNA. RefSeq lists it as uncharacterized. The record is from RefSeq and is a predicted model, not a curated record. The transcript has 3 exons. NCBI's taxonomy places the organism in Eukaryota, Viridiplantae, Streptophyta, Magnoliopsida, Zingiberales, Zingiberaceae.